GCAAUUAAUUCCACAAGCAUUUUUUAACCCUUUCCCCCUACUGAAUGAUUUUAUAUUCAUAUAAAACACCUUCUGUUAAAACUAGUAACAAGAAAUUGACUUUCUCCUAAAUAUAAACUUAAACCAGCUUUGACCACCUACUGGUACUUAACGCAAAUGAUUAAACUAUAGUAACCCUCCCCGCGAACCCUAUUUCCCUUUAACGUUACCCUAACACCAGAAUAUUUUAGGAAAGAUUAAAAGGGGGGGAAGGAACUCGGCAAAUACUAGCCCCGCCUGUUUACCAAAAACAUCGCCUCCUGCUGACCCAUGGGAGGUCCAGCCUGCCCAGUGACUAAGUUCAACGGCCUCGGUACCCUAACCGCGCGAAGGUAGCAUAAUCACUUGUUCUUUAAAUAAGGACUUGUAUCAACGGCACCACGAGGGCUAGACUGUCUCCCCCCCCCAAUCAGUGAACCUGACCUCUUCGUGAAGAGGCGAAGAUGACCAUAUAAGACGAGAAGACCCCAUGGAGCUUAAAACUAAGUAACACCCUCUUACAUAUAUACCCUAAAAGACAAGAAAACUGUUACCUAAUUUUUGGCUGGGGCAUCCAAGGAGUAAAACACAACCUCCUUGACGAAUCAUCUUAGAAUUACUAUUCCAAGAAACAGUAAACUGAAGUAAUAUGACCCGAUAAUCGAUCAACGAACCAAGUUACCCUGGGGAUAACAGCGCAAUCCAUUUCAAGAGCUCAUAUCGACAAAUGGGUUUACGACCUCGAUGUUGGAUCAGGGUACCCCAGUGGUGCAGCCGCUACUAAAGGUU
This 807-nucleotide ribosomal RNA is filed under the name Phrynobatrachus africanus (African swamp frog). RNAcentral's name for it is "partial 16S ribosomal RNA". It matches the Rfam family "Bacterial large subunit ribosomal RNA", at positions 1533 to 2573 of the family's 2925-position model. The record is from RNAcentral. Lineage: Eukaryota; Metazoa; Chordata; Amphibia; Anura; Phrynobatrachidae.